UACGUAGGGUGCGAGCGUUAAUCGGAAUUACUGGGCGUAAAGAGUGCGUAGGCGGUUUCUCAAGUCCGCUGUGAAAUCCCCGGGCUCAACCUGGGAAUGGCAGUGGAAACUAGGAGACUUGAAUCUGGCAGAGGGGGGUGGAAUUCCACGUGUAGUGGUGAAAUACGUAGAUAUCUGGAGGAACACCGGUGGCGAAGGCGGCUACCUGGCCCAACAUUGACGCUGAGACCCGAAAGCAUGGGGAUCAAACAGG
Molecule: ribosomal RNA, 253 nt
Filed under: uncultured bacterium
Lineage: Bacteria
Description: partial 16S ribosomal RNA
Rfam family: Bacterial small subunit ribosomal RNA
Source: RNAcentral